UUGCCCUACGGGAGGCAGCAGUGAGGAAUAUUGGUCAAUGGGCUUACGCCUGAACCAGCCAAGUCGCGUGAGGGAAGACUGCCCUAUGGGUUGUAAACCUCUUUUGUCAGGGAGCAAUUGGCGCUACGUGUAGCGUUAUCGAGAGUACCUGAAGAAAAAGCAUCGGCUAACUCCGUGCCAGCAGCCGCGGUAAUACGGAGGAUGCGAGCGUUAUCCGGAUUUAUUGGGUUUAAAGGGUGCGUAGGCGGACAGUCAAGUCAGCGGUAAAAAUGCGGUGCUCAACGCCGUACAGCCGUUGAAACUGG
RNAcentral lists this ribosomal RNA (305 nucleotides) under uncultured bacterium. RNAcentral's name for it is "bacterial SSU rRNA". It matches the Rfam family "Bacterial small subunit ribosomal RNA", at positions 334 to 636 of the family's 1533-position model. The record is from RNAcentral.